This 660-nucleotide ribosomal RNA is filed under the name uncultured Actinomycetes bacterium. Its description in RNAcentral is "bacterial SSU rRNA". It matches the Rfam family "Bacterial small subunit ribosomal RNA", at positions 214 to 886 of the family's 1533-position model. Lineage: Bacteria; Bacillati; Actinomycetota; Actinomycetes. The record is from RNAcentral.
GGCGAUGCAUCGUAGAUUCGGGGUCUAUGAGCUUGUUGGGGGGURAUGGCCGACCGAGGCUUCGACGGGUAGGCGGCCUGAGAGGGGGAGCGGGCACACUGGGACUGAGACACGGCGCAGACUCCUACGGGAGGGAGGAGUGGGGAAUAUUGGACAAGGGGCGGAAGCCUGAUCCAGCAACGCCGCGUGAGGGAUGACGGGCUUCGGGUUGUAAGCCUCUUUCACCUCCGACGAAGCGAAAGUGAGGGUAGGGGGAGAAGAAGCACCGGCCAACUACGUGCCAGCAGCCGCGGUAAUACGUAGGGUGCGAGCGUUGUCCGGAAUUAUUGGGCGUAAAGGGCUCGUAGGCGGUUUGUCGCGUCGGGAGUGAAAACACCGGGCUUAACUCGGUGCUGGCUUCCGAUACGGGCAGACUAGAGGUAUUCAGGGGAGAACGGAAUUCCUGGUGUAGCGGUGAAAUGCGCAGAUAUCAGGAGGAACACCGGUGGCGAAGGCGGUUCUCUGGGAAUUACCUGACGCUGAGGAGCGAAAGUGUGGGGAGCGAACAGGAUUAGAUACCCUGGUAGUCCACACCGUAAACGUUGGGCGCUAGGUGUGGGACCCGUCCACGGGUUCCGUGCCGCAGCUAACGCAUUAAGCGCCCCGCCUGGGGAGUACGGA